RNAcentral lists this ribosomal RNA (1353 nucleotides) under Salmonella enterica subsp. enterica serovar Schwarzengrund. RNAcentral's name for it is "partial 23S ribosomal RNA". It matches the Rfam family "Bacterial large subunit ribosomal RNA", at positions 222 to 1517 of the family's 2925-position model. Lineage: Bacteria; Pseudomonadati; Pseudomonadota; Gammaproteobacteria; Enterobacterales; Enterobacteriaceae. The record is from RNAcentral.
AAAUCAACCGAGAUUCCCCCAGUAGCGGCGAGCGAACGGGGAGGAGCCCAGAGCCUGAAUCAGCAUAUGUGUUAGUGGAAGCGUCUGGAAAGGCGCGCGAUACAGGGUGACAGCCCCGUACACAAAAGCGCAUGUGCUGUGAGCUCGAUGAGUAGGGCGGGACACGUGGUAUCCUGUCUGAAUAUGGGGGGACCAUCCUCCAAGGCUAAAUACUCCUGACUGACCGAUAGUGAACCAGUACCGUGAGGGAAAGGCGAAAAGAACCCCGGCGAGGGGAGUGAAAAAGAACCUGAAACCGUGUACGUACAAGCAGUGGGAGCCCCACCACUAAGCCAGUGGUGAACUCCACAUACGCAUCCUUUGCUGAGGAUACGGUUAACGGAGCGAAAGCGACGUUCAACCUCAAAAGAAGCAGAGGGGGCUUAGUGGUGGGGUGACUGCGUACCUUUUGUAUAAUGGGUCAGCGACUUAUAUUCUGUAGCAAGGUUAACCGAAUAGGGGAGCCGGAGGGAAACCGAGUCUUAACCGGGCGUUAAGUUGCAGGGUAUAGACCCGAAACCCGGUGAUCUAGCCAUGGGCAGGUUGAAGGUUGGGUAACACUAACUGGAGGACCGAACCGACUAAUGUUGAAAAAUUAGCGGAUGACCUGUGGCUGGGGGUGAAAGGCCAAUCAAACCGGGAGAUAGCUGGUUCUCCCCGAAAGCUAUUUAGGUAGCGCCUCGUGAAUUCAUCUCCGGGGGUAGAGCACUGUUUCGGCUAGGGGGCCAUCCCGGCUUACCAACCCGAUGCAAACUGCGAAUACCGGAGAAUGUUAUCACGGGAGACACACGGCGGGUGCUAACGUCCGUCGUGAAGAGGGAAACAACCCAGACCGCCAGCUAAGGUCCCAAAGUCAUGGUUAAGUGGGAAACGAUGUGGGAAGGCCCAGACAGCCAGGAUGUUGGCUUAGAAGCAGCCAUCAUUUAAAGAAAGCGUAAUAGCUCACUGGUCGAGUCGGCCUGCGCGGAAGAUGUAACGGGGCUAAACCAUGCACCGAAGCUGCGGCAGCGACGCUGAUGCGUUGUUGGGUAGGGGAGCGUUCUGUAAGCCUGCGAAGGUGGCCUGUGAGGGUUGCUGGAGGUAUCAGAAGUGCGAAUGCUGACAUAAGUAACGAUAAAGCGGGUGAAAAGCCCGCUCGCCGGAAGACCAAGGGUUCCUGUCCAACGUUAAUCGGGGCAGGGUGAGUCGACCCCUAAGGCGAGGCCGAAAGGCGUAGUCGAUGGGAAACGGGUUAAUAUUCCCGUACUUGGUGUUACUGCGAAGGGGGGACGGAGAAGGCUAUGUUGGCCGGGCGACGGUUGUCCCGGUUUAAGC